RNAcentral lists this ribosomal RNA (253 nucleotides) under uncultured bacterium. Its description in RNAcentral is "partial 16S ribosomal RNA". It matches the Rfam family "Bacterial small subunit ribosomal RNA", at positions 524 to 776 of the family's 1533-position model. The record is from RNAcentral.
UACGUAGGGGGCAAGCGUUAUCCGGAUUUACUGGGUGUAAAGGGAGCGUAGACGGCAGUGCAAGUCUGAAGUGAAAGGCAAGGGCUCAACCCUUGGACUGCUUUGGAAACUGUGCUGCUGGAGUGUCGGAGAGGCAAGUGGAAUUCCUGGUGUAGCGGUGAAAUGCGUAGAUAUUAGGAGGAACACCAGUGGCGAAGGCGGCUUGCUGGACGAUGACUGACGUUGAGGCUCGAAAGCGUGGGGAGCAAACAGG